UCAGAAUCAACGCUGGCGGCGUGCCUCAGACAUGCAAGUCGAACGCGAAAGCUCCCUUCGGGGGGCAAGUAGAGUGGCGCACGGGUGAGUAACACGUAGGUAAUCUACCUUCGGAUGGGGAAUAACAACCGGAAACGGCUGCUAAUACCGCAUAAUGCAGCGGCACCUAAUGGUGACAGUUGUUAAAGCGGGGGAUCGUAAGACCUCGCGUCUGAAGAGGAGCCUGCGGCAGAUUAGCUAGUUGGUAAGGUAACGGCUUACCAAGGCGAUGAUCUGUAGCCGGCCUGAGAGGGCGGUCGGCCACACUGACACUGACAUACGGGUCAGACUCCUACGGGAGGCAGCAGUCGGGAAUUUUGGGCAAUGGGCGAAAGCCUGACCCAGCAACGCCGCGUGAAGGAUGAGAUCCUUCGGGAUGUAAACUUCGCAAGAACGGGAAGAAUAAGUGAGGGUUAAUAUCUUUCGCGAUGACGGUACCGUUGU
RNAcentral lists this ribosomal RNA (483 nucleotides) under uncultured Acidobacteriota bacterium. Its description in RNAcentral is "bacterial SSU rRNA". It matches the Rfam family "Bacterial small subunit ribosomal RNA", at positions 24 to 484 of the family's 1533-position model. The record is from RNAcentral. Lineage: Bacteria; Pseudomonadati; Acidobacteriota.